AUAUUUGACAGAGGUGAACGAAUGCUUCGAGGAGUCAGGCAUGUGCCAGGGCUAAGGAGGAAUCUAAUUUCGCUUGGUGUUCUUCAUGAUGGUGGUAUGGAAUUCCGUUGUGAUCGGGAUAAGAAAACCAUGAAAAUCAUGGAAGAUGUGGUGAGUGUGACCAUAGGAGAGAGGACGGCUUCGUAUCUUUACAAGUUGCAAGGAAGUACUAUUGCAUGUGGAGCCUUGCAGAGUGGAGCUGCAGGAGUUCCAGUGGAGUCCCACGGUGGUGGCGAGUCUGACCCGUCGGGUAGCUCUCAGUAA
RNAcentral lists this ribosomal RNA (303 nucleotides) under Triticum aestivum (bread wheat). RNAcentral's name for it is "partial small subunit ribosomal RNA". The record is from RNAcentral. Lineage: Eukaryota; Viridiplantae; Streptophyta; Magnoliopsida; Poales; Poaceae.